Molecule: non-coding RNA, 257 nt
Organism: Lupinus angustifolius (narrow-leaved blue lupine)
Lineage: Eukaryota; Viridiplantae; Streptophyta; Magnoliopsida; Fabales; Fabaceae
Rfam family: Early nodulin 40
Source: Rfam
AUGAAGCUCUUUUGGCAAAAAUCCAUCUAUGGUUCUUGAUUCUUGAAGAAGCAUGAAUUAACAUUGUGAAAGGGUCCUCACCAUUCACACUACUCCACUUCCAACAGUUUGUUUGGGCUAUAGCUAUUGGUUUCUGUAUUAUUCUCUCUGAGUAGCAGAAGCAUAUAAGCAUUCUCCAUUGGAGCAAAGGCUUUCUUUGGCUACAGCUAGGGCAAGCCGGCAAGUCACAAAAAGGCAUGGACUUCAUUAUGGGUCCU